AUUGAACGCUGGCGGCAUGCCUUACACAUGCAAGUCGAACGGCAGCACGGGUGCUUGCACCUGGUGGCGAGUGGCGAACGGGUGAGUAAUACAUCGGAACGUACCUUAUCGUGGGGGAUAACGCAGCGAAAGCUGUGCUAAUACCGCAUACGCCCUGAGGGGGAAAGCGGGGGAUCGCAAGACCUCGCGCGAUUGGAGCGGCCGAUAUCAGAUUAGGUAGUUGGUGGGGUAAAGGCUCACCAAGCCAACGAUCUGUAGCUGGUCUGAGAGGACGACCAGCCACACUGGGACUGAGACACGGCCCAGACUCCUACGGGAGGCAGCAGUGGGGAAUAUUGCACAAUGGGCGCAAGCCUGAUGCAGCAACGCCGCGUGAGGGAU
This 381-nucleotide ribosomal RNA is filed under the name uncultured bacterium. RNAcentral describes it as "bacterial SSU rRNA". It matches the Rfam family "Bacterial small subunit ribosomal RNA", at positions 29 to 409 of the family's 1533-position model. The record is from RNAcentral.